Molecule: ribosomal RNA, 253 nt
Filed under: uncultured bacterium
Lineage: Bacteria
Description: partial 16S ribosomal RNA
Rfam family: Bacterial small subunit ribosomal RNA
Source: RNAcentral
UACGUAGGGUGCGAGCGUUAUUCGGAAUUACUGGGCGUAAAGCGUGCGCAGGCGGUUUUGUAAGCCAGAUGUGAAAUCCCCGGGCUUAACCUGGGAAUGGCAUUUGGGACUGCAAGGCUGGAGUUUGGCAGAGGAGACUGGAAUUCCCGGUGUAGCAGUGAAAUGCGUAGAUAUCGGGAGGAAUACCGAUGGCGAAGGCAGGUCUCUGGGCUAUAACUGACGCUCAUGCACGAAAGCGUGGGGAGCAAACAGG